RNAcentral lists this long non-coding RNA (205 nucleotides) under Solanum tuberosum (potato). Its description in RNAcentral is "long non-coding RNA (STUB_LNC009755)". Lineage: Eukaryota; Viridiplantae; Streptophyta; Magnoliopsida; Solanales; Solanaceae. The record is from RNAcentral.
CCUCUACCACCAUAAAAUUUUUCGCAAUAUUGCACAAAAAAAUAUUUUCCACUUAGGUUCAGUUCCCCAGAAUAAAAUUUGCAAGAAAGUAGUGAGUGGUAUGCCAUAAGGACCUAGAAAGAUUAUCUAUGUAGUGUUGGACAAAAUGAUAAUUACACCCAGAAUAAUGUCCAAACUAAAUAGCAAUAGGAAGAGAGUAACAACG